Non-coding RNA from Schistosoma curassoni, 52 nucleotides. The record is from Rfam. Lineage: Eukaryota; Metazoa; Platyhelminthes; Trematoda; Strigeidida; Schistosomatidae.
CGUCACACACCAGACCACAAGGGCUGAUGAGACUUCCAAGAUAAGUGAAGCG